Molecule: long non-coding RNA, 422 nt
Filed under: Mus caroli (Ryukyu mouse)
Lineage: Eukaryota; Metazoa; Chordata; Mammalia; Rodentia; Muridae
Description: predicted gene, 38163 (MGP_CAROLIEiJ_G0034631.1)
Source: RNAcentral
UGAGGAGCUAUAUUAAAGGGUGGCAACAUCAGGGAGGCUGAGGACCACUGCUCUAAGUAUUGGAUGUCUUAGAUGAUGCUGAAAGGAAGACUAAAAGCAAGAACCAGUCACGAUCCCUCUGGUCUUCAAAUAUAAAUGCAGCCAGGGGGGUGGUGUAUAGGCCUUUUAGUCUAGGCACUUGGCACCUGGUCAACGUAGCAAGUUCCAAGCCUGGGUAUGUAUAUAUAUAUAUAUAUAUAUAUGCUCACACCUGUAAUCUUAGCACUUAGGAGACCAAGAUGGAAGGACCAGAAUAGUUCAAGGAUAUCCUCAGCUACAUAGCAAGGCCGAGGUCAUACUGGACUCUGUGAGACACUGUCUCAAAUACAAUAGUAACCACAAAGUUGUCUGGAAGUUAGGGUGUACCUCAGUGGUAGAGCAUU